UGGGGAAUAUUGGGCAAUGGGCGCAAGCCUGACCCAGCCACGCCGCGUGAGUGAUGAAGGCCUUCGGGUCGUAAAGCUCUGUGGGGAGGAACGAACCAGCCUCGGGAGUAAUCCCCCGGGGCCCUGACGGUACCUCCUUAGCAAGCACCGGCUAACUCCGUGCCAGCAGCCGCGGUAAUACGGAGGGUGCAAACGUUGCUCGGAAUCAUUGGGCGUAAAGCGCGCGCAGGCGGCCUGUUAAGUCGGGUGUGAAAGCCCUUGGCUUAACCGAGGAAGUGCAUUCGAAACUGGCAGGCUUGAGUACGGGAGAGGGUAGCGGAAUUCCCGGUGUAGAGGUGAAAUUCGUAGAUAUCGGGAGGAACACCAGUGGCGAAGGCGGCUACCUGGACCGAUACUGACGCUGAGGCGCGAAAGCGUGGGGAGCAAACAGG
This 431-nucleotide ribosomal RNA is filed under the name uncultured bacterium. Its description in RNAcentral is "bacterial SSU rRNA". It matches the Rfam family "Bacterial small subunit ribosomal RNA", at positions 355 to 776 of the family's 1533-position model. The record is from RNAcentral.